AAAUCUAAAAUAUCUUAAACUGUGUUUCGAAGAUGAACGGAGGUCUUACCCUCAUGUCGUUCCAAACUCGUGAGUCAUUAGUUACAUUAUUUUCAUUUUUGGGUGAACUCUCCCUUUAAUUACAUGCUCAUACUUGUAAUUAUGCCUGAUAAGAAUUUGUAAUCUUUGUGUUUAAACAUUUUUCGAAUUUUAAUCCUUGUUUUUAAAUGGCCAUGACAGUGACAAAAAGGAAGCAGCCUUCUCUAGCCCACCCAAGUUUCCAUCAAAGGAGCAAGCCCAUGUCAGUAAGAAGAAAGCUGGCUAACCCUCCCACCCCUUGUUUAACUCCUCCAGCCCAUCCCACAUCAUUGUAGAGUGAAGGUAAGUGUACCCUAUAUAGUAAAAUGCAUCAGGUCCCUAAAUUCAAGCAGACACAAUGUACUCCACAGGUCCACAGCACAUACCAUAGUUUGAUGUUCCAGAGAUAUGAUUUUUGAGUUUAUAUUAGUAGUGUGAUCAGUAAACCAAGGUUUUCUGUCUUUCCAAGAGACUGCGGUUAAUAUUCAGAAAGAGGCGCCGAGAACUGAAGGCUUUCCUGACUUGACACCGAAUAAUAACGAAGGCCUGUGUGCUUUGCAGCAGCCUCCACGUCACACUCUUCCAGGGCUCCGUCAGAGGACUAACGAUAUGCCACAAGAUGAUUGGCAGCAAGACACACCCAGUGAUGAAGGGAUGUGCUCUCCUUAAAUCACAGCCUAUUCAUCAGGUACUCCUGAGUGCUGUGUUAAGAAAUCCUGCCUACAAAGUUCCACUGAGGCUGAUAUAAAGAUGACUGUGAGAAACUGGCUGCGGCUGUCUGAGCAGAGACAGGAAUGGGGGCAGCAAAGGCGGGACAAGCAAGCAUCUUAAGUGAAAUAAUUGAUUGCACUGAUUCUGGAGUAUGACUUAUUCUGGAGGGAAUUUCUUAUUUUUGUUGCAGUUUGCUAUGGGACAGUUUCAAGGACAGGGAUUAGACUAGUUCUAGACUAAAAUAAAUGUAAGAGCUGUCCAAACUGAAAACAACUUGCAUUGACAUAUCAUAAAAUACAUCAGUGUCUUUUGUGAUGCUUCAAAAUGCACACAAGUAAUGUUUUUAUUAAGACAUGUUAUUAAAACUAGUUAUAUUUCAGAAUUAAACUAAGGCCUAGUCCCGGUUUAGGAUAAUCCCUGUCCGGGAAACCACCCCAAAGUGUAAUUUGUGGAGUGUUAAAAUAAAUGAAACUGCCUUUGCAAAAACAAAGUAAAAAAAUUUUUUCCAGAUGCCCUUCUGUUUUGUUAUUUCUCCUGGAAAACUCACUGAUCCAUUUUUUUCUGUUAGACUAACAUUUACCAGGUUGUCAGAUUGUGUAUGAAAUACACCCUACACAUAACAAUCACUUACUUUCAAUUUAAA
Long non-coding RNA from Misgurnus anguillicaudatus (oriental weatherfish), 1411 nucleotides. RefSeq lists it as uncharacterized. The record is from RefSeq and is a predicted model, not a curated record. Lineage: Eukaryota; Metazoa; Chordata; Actinopteri; Cypriniformes; Cobitidae.